CCUACGGGAGGCAGCAGUGGGGAAUAUUGCACAAUGGGGGAAACCCUGAUGCAGCGAAGCCGCGUGAGUGAAGAAGUAUUUCGGUACGUAAAGCUCUAUCAGCAGGGAAGAAAAUGACGGUACCUGACUAAGACGCCCCGGCUAACUACGUGCCAGCAGCCGCGGUAAUACGUAGGGGGCAAGCGUUAUCCGGAUUUACUGGGUGUAAAGGGAGCGUAGACGGCAGCGCAAGUCUGGAGUGAAAUCCCAUGGCUUAACCAUGGAACUGCUUUGGAAACUGUGCAGCUAGAGUGCAGGAGAGGUAAGCGGAAUUCCUAGUGUAGCGGUGAAAUGCGUAGAUAUUAGGAGGAACACCAGUGGCGAAGGCGGCUUACUGGACUGUAACUGACGUUGAGGCUCGAAAGCGUGGGGAGCAAACAGGAUUAGAUACCCGGGUAGUC
RNAcentral lists this ribosomal RNA (440 nucleotides) under uncultured bacterium. Its description in RNAcentral is "partial 16S ribosomal RNA". It matches the Rfam family "Bacterial small subunit ribosomal RNA", at positions 338 to 795 of the family's 1533-position model. The record is from RNAcentral.